ACGGGUGCGUAACGCGUGGGAAUCUGCCCUUGGGUUCGGAAUAACAGUUAGAAAUGACUGCUAAUACCGGAUGAUGUCUUCGGACCAAAGAUUUAUCGCCCAAGGAUGAGCCGCGUAAGAUUAGCUAGUUGGUGGGGUAAUGGCCCACCAAGGCGACGAUCUUUAGCUGGUCUGAGAGGAUGAUCAGCCACACUGGGACUGAGACACGGCCCAGACUCCUACGGGAGGCAGCAGUGGGGAAUAUUGGACAAUGGGCGAAAGCCUGAUCCAGCAAUGCCGCGUGAGUGAUGAAGGCCUUAGGGUUGUAAAGCUCUUUUACCAGGGAUGAUAAUGACAGUACCUGGAGAAUAAGCUCCGGCUAACUCCGUGCCAGCAGCCGCGGUAAUACGGAGGGAGCUAGCGUUGUUCGGAAUUACUGGGCGUAAAGCGUACGUAGGCGGUUAUUCAAGUCAGAGGUGAAAGCCCGGGGCUCAACCCCGGAACGGCCUUUGAAACUAGAUAGCUAGAGUCUUGGAGAGGUUAGUGGAAUUCCGAGUGUAGAGGUGAAAUUCGUAGA
This 556-nucleotide ribosomal RNA is filed under the name uncultured Novosphingobium sp. RNAcentral's name for it is "bacterial SSU rRNA". It matches the Rfam family "Bacterial small subunit ribosomal RNA", at positions 102 to 694 of the family's 1533-position model. The record is from RNAcentral. Lineage: Bacteria; Pseudomonadati; Pseudomonadota; Alphaproteobacteria; Sphingomonadales; Sphingomonadaceae.